Molecule: ribosomal RNA, 499 nt
Filed under: uncultured bacterium
Lineage: Bacteria
Description: bacterial SSU rRNA
Rfam family: Bacterial small subunit ribosomal RNA
Source: RNAcentral
AUGAACGCUAGCUACAGGCUUAACACAUGCAAGUCGAGGGGCAGCAUUGAGAUAGCUUGCUAUUCAGAUGGCGACCGGCGCACGGGUGAGUAACGCGUAUCCAACCUUCCCUAUAGUAGAGAAUAGCCCGGCGAAAGUCGGAUUAAUGCUCUAUAUGUUCUAUUGAUGGCAUCAGAGAUUGAACAAAGAAUUUCGCUAUAGGAUGGGGAUGCGUCUGAUUAGCUUGUUGGCGGGGUAACGGCCCACCAAGGCAACGAUCAGUAGGGGUUCUGAGAGGAAGGUCCCCCACAUUGGUACUGAGACACGGACCAAACUCCUACGGGAGGCAGCAGUGAGGAAUAUUGGUCAAUGGGCGCAAGCCUGAACCAGCCAAGUAGCGUGCAAGGACGACUGCCCUAUGGGUUGUAAACUGCUUUUAUAGGGGAAUAAAGUGAGGUAUGCAUACCUUUUUGUAUGUACCCUAUGAAUAAGGACCGGCUAAUUCCGUGCCAGCAGCUGC